RNAcentral lists this ribosomal RNA (253 nucleotides) under uncultured bacterium. RNAcentral's name for it is "partial 16S ribosomal RNA". It matches the Rfam family "Bacterial small subunit ribosomal RNA", at positions 524 to 776 of the family's 1533-position model. The record is from RNAcentral.
UACGUAGGGGGCUAGCGUUGUUCGGAAUUACUGGGCGUAAAGCGCGCGUAGGCGGCUUUGUAAGUUAGAGGUGAAAGCCCGGAGCUCAACUCCGGAAUUGCCUUUAAGACUGCAUCGCUAGAAUCAUGGAGAGGUUAGUGGAAUUCCGAGUGUAGAGGUGAAAUUCGUAGAUAUUCGGAAGAACACCAGUGGCGAAGGCGACUAACUGGACAUGUAUUGACGCUGAGGUGCGAAAGCGUGGGGAGCAAACAGG